AGCAGCCGCGGUAAUUCCAGCUCCAAUAGCGUAUAUUAAAGUUGUUGCAGUUAAAAAGCUCGUAGUUGAAUUUCGGGAUCAGUACGCCGGUCGUGCCUCUGGUAUGUACUGGUGUUACUGGUUCCUACCUUCUGACGAAUCGUCAUGUCAUUAAUUUGGUGUGGCGGGGAAUCAGGACUGUUACUUUGAAAAAAUUAGAGUGUUUAAAGCAGGCUCGCGCUUGAAUACAUUAGCAUGGAAUAAUGAAAUAGGACGUUCGAUCCUAUUUUGUUGGUUUCUAGGAUUGACGUAAUGAUUAAUAGGGAUAGUUGGGGGCAUUAGUAUUCAAUUGUCAGAGGUGAAAUUCUUGGAUUUAUUGAAGACUAACUACUGCGAAAGCAUUUGCCAAGGAUGUUUUCAUUAAUCAAGAACGAAAGUUAGGGGAUCGAAGACGAUCAGAUACCGUCGUAG
Molecule: ribosomal RNA, 450 nt
Filed under: uncultured Glomeromycotina
Lineage: Eukaryota; Fungi; Glomeromycota
Description: SSU rRNA
Rfam family: Eukaryotic small subunit ribosomal RNA
Source: RNAcentral